Hirundo rustica (Barn swallow) is the source of this 356-nucleotide long non-coding RNA. RefSeq lists it as uncharacterized. The record is from RefSeq and is a predicted model, not a curated record. NCBI's taxonomy places the organism in Eukaryota, Metazoa, Chordata, Aves, Passeriformes, Hirundinidae. The transcript has 3 exons.
GCAUAGCUUCCCCGGUUUCAUUUUAACUGGUGAAAAAAAGUGAGGGCUUUACACGCACCUCAGAAAUAAAAAACAGUCCCAAACUAGAGGACAGAGAAGACUCAUAUUUCAAGCAGAAUAGGAGACGAAACAAGUCAGGGCUUGGCAAACAUUUAAAGGAAGGUUGGGCUACAGGACAUCUCUGUGUUAUUUCCUUUAAACAGUGAAUCCUUUUUCAGUAGACAUUAGAUCUGAGCCUAAGGCUAUUACUAAAGGACCUAAACAUUCCCAGGUGGGCUCCUCUUCAAUAAUAACAGGAGCCUUGAAGAGAUUUACUGAUACUGAAAAGAAUAAGUAAUAAACAGGAACUGAAGCAA